GUCAGGAUGGCCGAGCGGUCUAAGGCGCUGCGUUCAGGUCGCGUCGGUCUUCCGGGCGUGGGUUCGAAUCCCACUUCUGACA
RNAcentral lists this transfer RNA (82 nucleotides) under Dermacentor silvarum. RNAcentral describes it as "transfer RNA leucine (anticodon CAG)". It matches the Rfam family "tRNA". From Rfam's summary of the family: Transfer RNA (tRNA) molecules are approximately 80 nucleotides in length. Their secondary structure includes four short double-helical elements and three loops (D, anti-codon, and T loops). The record is from RNAcentral. Lineage: Eukaryota; Metazoa; Arthropoda; Arachnida; Ixodida; Ixodidae.